Molecule: long non-coding RNA, 1006 nt
Organism: Hevea brasiliensis (rubber tree)
Lineage: Eukaryota; Viridiplantae; Streptophyta; Magnoliopsida; Malpighiales; Euphorbiaceae
Exons: 2
Source: RefSeq, a predicted model, not a curated record
UUUAACAACUUGUUUGGAUAGGUGGAAAAAGGAGAGAAAAGAAAAUUACAGAGGGAAAAUAACUUUGAACAUCUAUUUUCCUCUAUUUGGAUAAGAAAGGAAAAUAGGGGAGAAGAGAAAAAUUUGGCAUAUUUUUCUCUGGAUAUUUUCUCUCUAAAUCAUAGAGAAAAUGAGAAAUUAGAGGGGAAAAGGGAUCUUUGACCUGUUAAAUUACAUACUUGCCCUUGUUUUUUAUCUAUCGUGUAUCCAUAAGUUAUUGGAGAGUUUUUCCUUUUCUCAUAAGUGAGGGUUUGCUGAAGAAAAAGUGUCCAAGUCCAACAUCUUCCACAAAAUUCCUUCCCAUCUACCACUGUAUAAAUGACUCAAGAUUCUCCUUUUAGCAUUGAUCUCCCUUAAUUGGGUUAUUCUUUCGAUUCAAACGUAUUGGAGACUAACUAGCGCUUGUUGAAGAUCAUCACCUCUAUUACCAGUGAUUUCCACGCAGUACCAUACUCAUACUUUCCAUUACCUCUGCUUAUUGAAGAAGUCACUACAAAAGAAAACUUCAUUCAAGUCCUGAUUAACAAGAAAAUAGCUAUGAUAGUAUGAUAAAUAAUGCCAAGGAGAGAAAAAAAUUCCAAACCAAGAAAUUUCAAUAUCGGGGAAAAAUCAUGUAGUUUGGACAAAUGAAUGGAUGAUGUGUUGAUAAAUGCUAUGUUGGAAGAAGAACAUAAAGGGAAUCGGCCUGAAGGAACAUGGAAUACUAGAGCUUUUGACAAUAUGUUACAAGUGUUAAGGGCAACAUUUCGCCCUCUUAUUCAUAAAUCUAAGAUUAAGAAUCAAAUGAAGACCUUAAAGUGAACCUUUGUCGAGUGUAAGGAUUUAUAUCAUGGUCUUAGUGGCUUUGCUUGGAAUCCUGUAAUAAAAUUGUUUGAAGCUACUUUUGAUGUUUGGGAGUAAUUAAUUUAGGUAAAACUUCUAAUAUUUCUAAAAACUAUUAAGUUAAAGAUUAGUAGUGUAUUUUAUA